CGUCCCUUAUAAUUAUGUUUUUCUUCCUUUAUUUGGAGUGACAAUUAACCAUGUUCUCUUUAUUUUACCUCUAUAUAAAGAGAAGCAGCAAAGUUAAUGUUUUUUCACUACUUCACACUUUUUGUUGCAUCCUAUUUCUCUCCCCUUUGUUUUUUUCUCUCUCACACCCCCUCUCUCUUAUUUUCACCAAAAACACAAAACCCUAGUUGUCCAAAAUCUUUCCCAACAUCUUCCUCCCUCCCUGGCC
This 247-nucleotide long non-coding RNA is filed under the name Prunus persica (peach). Its description in RNAcentral is "long non-coding RNA (PPER_LNC008217)". Lineage: Eukaryota; Viridiplantae; Streptophyta; Magnoliopsida; Rosales; Rosaceae. The record is from RNAcentral.